This 461-nucleotide ribosomal RNA is filed under the name uncultured Enterobacteriaceae bacterium. RNAcentral's name for it is "bacterial SSU rRNA". It matches the Rfam family "Bacterial small subunit ribosomal RNA", at positions 920 to 1382 of the family's 1533-position model. Lineage: Bacteria; Pseudomonadati; Pseudomonadota; Gammaproteobacteria; Enterobacterales; Enterobacteriaceae. The record is from RNAcentral.
CCCGCACAAGCGGUGGAGCAUGUGGUUUAAUUCGAUGCAACGCGAAGAACCUUACCUGGUCUUGACAUCCACGGAAGUUUUCAGAGAUGAGAAUGUGCCUUCGGGAACCGUGAGACAGGUGCUGCAUGGCUGUCGUCAGCUCGUGUUGUGAAAUGUUGGGUUAAGUCCCGCGACGAGCGCAACCCUUAUCCUUUGUUGCCAGCGGUCCGGCCGGGAACUCAAAGGAGACUGCCAGUGAUAAACUGGAGGAAGGUGGGAUGACGUCAAGUCAUCAUGGCCCUUACGACCAGGGCUACACACGUGCUACAAUGGCGCAUACAAAGAGAAGCGACCUCGCGAGAGCAAGCGGACCUCAUAAAGUGCGUCGUAGUCCGGAUUGGAGUCUGCAACUCGACUCCAUGAAGUCGGAAUCGCUAGUAAUCGUGGAUCAGAAUGCCACGGUGAAUACGUUCCCGGGCCUU